UACAGAGGUCUCGAGCGUUGUUCGGAUUCAUUGGGCGUAAAGGGUGCGUAGGUGGCGCUGUAAGUCAGGUGUGAAAUUUCGGAGCUUAACUCCGAAACUGCAUUUGAUACUGCGGUGCUUGAGGACUGGAGAGGAGACUGGAAUUUACGGUGUAGCAGUGAAAUGCGUAGAGAUCGUAAGGAAGACCAGUGGCGAAGGCGGGUCUCUGGACAGUUCCUGACACUGAGGCACGAAAGCCAGGGGAGCAAACGGG
RNAcentral lists this ribosomal RNA (253 nucleotides) under uncultured bacterium. RNAcentral describes it as "partial 16S ribosomal RNA". It matches the Rfam family "Bacterial small subunit ribosomal RNA", at positions 524 to 776 of the family's 1533-position model. The record is from RNAcentral.